UUAUCACUCAUGUCUUUGAAAUGAAUGCAUGUGAACAUGUGUGAAGAAAAGCCUUGCUACUGUGCGUGUUUAUUGGUUUAAACUAUGCAUAAAUAAAGUUGUUUCAUUAACAGAAGCCACGUGUCUUCUUAAAAUUAAUUCGAUAACGAAUCCGGAAUUAAUACGAAAUCGGUUUUAGUUUUGUCGAUGACAAAAUAUACGUCACAUUUUUACGUCACGGAGGCAGAAGAUCGAACUGCAGGAUGGAUUUAGCAGAGGUAAUGAUUGUCAAGCAUUCGUUUUUAUUUACUUGCAUUUGAAAAUUAUAUCGUACAAUUACCGAUGUCAAAAGAGUAAACAUGUAGCACGGAGCUGUAACUGUGUUCUCCGGGAAAAUUCGGGUUGAAUUAAUGACGAUAAAAAUGAUGUUUCCCCAGAGAGCUACAACUAAGCAGCUAUUUGGUUUAGUUAAUAUAGAAGAACCAAUACUUAUUAAAACCAAUAAAAUAUAUGUCGAUCUUGGAUAAGACGCAUUUGAAAACGGAAAUAUUUGAAAGUAGAGAAAAACUAGAGCAAAGCCUAUGUAAAGAAACGAGUAGGUCUUCCAUUGCAACUAUUAAGUGAAAUAAUUAUUGAAUUGCCUCUAUUAAGUUGUAUUCUUAUUGCAUGGUAAUUGAAAUUUUUUUUAUAGGCUAGCAUUGGCUGCUUGACAUAUCCCUGGAAGAGGACGCCAACUAGCUAACACAGUCAAUGACAGAUGUCUCUUUGAAUUGAUAAAAUCAUAAUCAAAUGGAUAUAAUACAGAAGUUUCAAAGAUCUGUUUUGAUGUAGCCUGAAGAUUUUGUAAUGAAUGAUCCAGGAUCCAAAAGUUCUUCGCGGAGUUCAAAGACAGUUGCAAUGUGGUUGCUAAUUUAGUGACAGAUUAAGAAAGAAGUUCAAACAAGCAUUGUCAUGGGAAAACAUUAAAAAGGAAGAAGUUGGAGGUGGACAAAAAUCAGGAUGAAUAUACUGGAGAAACUAUUAAAGCACAGAAGAAUGUCAACAAUAUAAAUGUAAA
This is a long non-coding RNA of Magallana angulata, 1036 nucleotides long. RefSeq lists it as uncharacterized. The record is from RefSeq and is a predicted model, not a curated record. Lineage: Eukaryota; Metazoa; Mollusca; Bivalvia; Ostreida; Ostreidae. The transcript is spliced from 4 exons.